AUUUACCAGUUGCCUAAUUACGAAAAGUUUCAUAUGACAUUAACCUCAAAAAUGAUCUUUGAAAACAAACAACAACAAACAGAGCAACAAAUGAACAAAUAACUACAUAAUGACUGAUAAUGAUAAGUGAUAAAAAUAACUUUAAUGAUAUGAAGGCUGAUGAAGUUUUAGACAACCAAUACAAGAUUUUAGAACUUGACAUCGUGAUAAACAAAUUGUACAUUCAGGAACUCGUUUAAAUAUUAUAGGUUGAUUGACGAAUAUUCUACAGUUGAUUAGAGCCCAUGAUGAUGCGAAGAUAAUUAAUAUCACCUAACUUCAAGAAACCAGCGUAAAGAAGUUUACAUUCACAACUCAUCUAACCAUUAUAGAUCAGUAAUGUCGUCAUAAUUUAAAUGAACUCACAGAUAGCAAUGGGGCACUGCACCGAAGCAGUAUUACAAAAUAUGUGAAAUAAAACUGUAAUACAAAUUGCUCUAUAAAAUUUAAUAGAAAUAAAUUUAUUUAUGAAAAUUAAGUUAUGAAGUUUUAUUUUUCCUAGGAAAAAAAUAACAUUUAUAUUUUGAUCAAUUUAGAACAUUACAGUUAAAAAAAUAUGUGUUAGAAUAACAUAUUUUUAAUAAAAUUGCAGCUUUUAAUUUUUAUACUUUUUUGCUUUUAUAUCAAUAAGAACUAACGUAAGGAACAAUUCAUAUUUAUACUAUGAAAACACAUGCAUAUUUUUUGAUGUUUUUAAAACCAGUGAAUGAUGUUGAAAUAUACUACACCUAUUAUUCUUAUUAACUAACUUUAAUUACAAACUUACACAUUAUUGUCAUUGGAAAUAAAUUAAUUUGGAUAUUCUA
This 845-nucleotide long non-coding RNA is filed under the name Sitophilus oryzae (rice weevil). RNAcentral describes it as "uncharacterized LOC115876053". Lineage: Eukaryota; Metazoa; Arthropoda; Insecta; Coleoptera; Curculionidae. The record is from RNAcentral.